UUGGUUAAGUUAGAAAGGGCGCACGGUGGAUGCCUUGGCACUAGGAGCCGAAGAAGGACGGGACUAACACCGAUAUGCUUUGGGGAGCUGUACGUAAGCGUUGAUCCAGAGAUUUCCGAAUGGGGGAACCCACUAUCUUUAGUCGGAUAGUAUCCUUACGUGAAUACAUAGCGUGAGGAAGGCAGACCCAGGGAACUGAAACAUCUAAGUACCUGGAGGAAGAGAAAGAAAAAUCGAUUUCCUGAGUAGCGGCGAGCGAAACGGAAAGAGCCCAAACCAAGAAGCUUGCUUCUUGGGGUUGUAGGACACUCUAUACGGAGUUACAAAAGAAAGUUAUAAAUGAAGCGGUCUGGAAAGGCCCGCCAAAGACGGUAACAGCCCGGUAGUUGAAAUGGCUUUCCCUCCAGAGUGGAUCCUGAGUACGGCGGAACACGUGAAAUUCCGUCGGAAUCCGGGAGGACCAUCUCCCAAGGCUAAAUACUCCCUAGUGACCGAUAGUGAACCAGUACCGUGAGGGAAAGGUGAAAAGCACCCCGGAAGGGGAGUGAAACAGUUCCUGAAACCGUGUGCCUACAAGUAGUUAGAGCCCGUUAAUGGGUGAUAGCGUGCCUUUUGUAGAAUGAACCGGCGAGUUACGAUUUGUUGCAAGGUUAAGCGGAAAAAGCGGAGCCGUAGCGAAAGCGAGUCUGAAUAGGGCGCAUAAGUAACAGGUCGUAGACCCGAAACCAGGUGAUCUACCCAUGUCCAGGAUGAAGGUAAGGUAAUACUUACUGGAGGUCCGAACCCACGCACGUUGAAAAGUGCGGGGAUGAGGUGUGGGUAGCGGAGAAAUUCCAAUCGAACUUGGAGAUAGCUGGUUCUCUCCGAAAUAGCUUUAGGGCUAGCCUCGAGGUAAAGAGUCAUGGAGGUAGAGCACUGUUUGGACUAGGGGCCCUUCUCGGGUUACCGAAUUCAGAUAAACUCCGAAUGCCAUGUACUUAUACUCGGGAGUC
Molecule: ribosomal RNA, 992 nt
Filed under: Listeria monocytogenes
Lineage: Bacteria; Bacillati; Bacillota; Bacilli; Caryophanales; Listeriaceae
Description: partial 23S ribosomal RNA
Rfam family: Bacterial large subunit ribosomal RNA
Source: RNAcentral